GACGAACGCUGGCGGCGUGCUUAACACAUGCAAGUCGAACGGAAAGGCCCUGCUUUUGUGGGGUGCUCGAGUGGCGAACGGGUGAGUAACACGUGAGUAACCUGCCCUUGACUUUGGGAUAACUUCAGGAAACUGGGGCUAAUACCGGAUAGGAGCUCCUGCUGCAUGGUGGGGGUUGGAAAGUUUCGGCGGUUGGGGAUGGACUCGCGGCUUAUCAGCUUGCUGGUGGGGUAGUGGCUUACCAAGGCUUUGACGGGUAGCCGGCCUGAGAGGGUGACCGGCCACAUUGGGACUGAGAUACGGCCCAGACUCCUACGGGAGGCAGCAGUGGGAAUAUUGCACAAUGGGCGGAAGCCUGAUGCAGCAACGCCGCGUGCGGGAUGACGGCCUCGGUUGUAACGCUUCGUCCUCGUGACGAAGCGUGAGUGACGGUAAU
Molecule: ribosomal RNA, 436 nt
Filed under: uncultured bacterium
Lineage: Bacteria
Description: bacterial SSU rRNA
Rfam family: Bacterial small subunit ribosomal RNA
Source: RNAcentral